Danio rerio (zebrafish) is the source of this 542-nucleotide non-coding RNA. The record is from Ensembl. NCBI's taxonomy places the organism in Eukaryota, Metazoa, Chordata, Actinopteri, Cypriniformes, Danionidae.
CAGUUUAGUCAAAGUCAAAGACUAUAUAAUAAGGGGAGAUUAAUUUAGGAAAGGAUUUGAACAAUUUCUGUGAUUGAAAGAUGCUUUGGAUGAACUAAGGAAUACCCGGUUCAUGGGAUUCUUUGUUUAUGAUUGUGAAUUGGACUAAUUUACCACGCUGGAAGGUGUUACAUGGAGCUUGUAAAGAAGGACAGUGUUUAUGUGAUCUACAACACACUUGUGAUUCGUUAUAGUUCAAGACUCACAACAAGAAAUCUGCUUCUUUAUGAUACAGAGAACAGAAAUUAGCAGUCAACUCCACUCUGUCUCUCAAGCCCGCCGAUGUACAUAUCAAGUUACCGUACAAACUGGUUACAGCAGAUAAACCUUCCACAUGCAGUCUGCCAAUCCAAUGAGCUCCUGCAGCCCUGGACCUUUACGGAUGAUGCGGAGACAGACCCAAGAGUCGCAUUUAGCCUCGCGGAAACGCUCAUGGCAAUGGCUCUAAAGCUAAUGCGGUGAAGGAAAAGCCUGACUGAAGAUUCAAUGCAGAAUCCUUGCCU